UACUGAGUGCUUACUAUGUGCCAGGCAA
This 28-nucleotide non-coding RNA is filed under the name Oryctolagus cuniculus (rabbit). RNAcentral also lists the same sequence under 2 other names. Lineage: Eukaryota; Metazoa; Chordata; Mammalia; Lagomorpha; Leporidae. The record is from RNAcentral.